CCUACGGGUGGCAGCAGUGGGGAAUAUUGGACAAUGGGGGGAACCCUGAUCCAGCCAUGCCGCGUGUGUGAAGAAGGCCCUCGGGUUGUAAAGCACUUUCAGUGAGGAAGAACGCCUGGUGGUUAAUACCCAUCAGGAAAGACAUCACUCACAGAAGAAGCACCGGCUAACUCCGUGCCAGCAGCCGCGGUAAUACGGAGGGUGCGAGCGUUAAUCGGAAUUACUGGGCGUAAAGCGCGCGUAGGUGGCUUGAUAAGCCGGUUGUGAAAGCCCCGGGCUCAACCUGGGAACGGCAUCCGGAACUGUCAAGCUAGAGUGCAGGAGAGGAAGGUAGAAUUCCCGGUGUAGCGGUGAAAUGCGUAGAGAUCGGGAGGAAUACCAGUGGCGAAGGUGGCCUUCUGGACUGACACUGACACUGAGGUGCGAAAGCGUGGGUAGCAAACAGGAUUAGAUACCCGAGUAGUC
Molecule: ribosomal RNA, 465 nt
Filed under: Vreelandella stevensii
Lineage: Bacteria; Pseudomonadati; Pseudomonadota; Gammaproteobacteria; Oceanospirillales; Halomonadaceae
Description: partial 16S ribosomal RNA
Rfam family: Bacterial small subunit ribosomal RNA
Source: RNAcentral